This 406-nucleotide ribosomal RNA is filed under the name uncultured bacterium. RNAcentral's name for it is "partial 16S ribosomal RNA". It matches the Rfam family "Bacterial small subunit ribosomal RNA", at positions 30 to 526 of the family's 1533-position model. The record is from RNAcentral.
AUUGAACGCUAGCGGCAGGCCUAACACAUGCAAGUCGAGCGAGCGGCGGACGGGUGAGUCAUGUAUGGGAAACUGCCUGAUGGAGGGGGAUAACUACUGGAAACGGUAGCUAAUACAGCAUACACUGCGAUGUGCCCAGAUGGGAUUAGCUAGUAGGGUGGGUAAAGGCUCACCUAGGCGACGAUCCCUAGCUGGUCUGUGAGGAUGACCAGCCAAACUGGAACGGAGACACGGUCCAGACUCCUACGGGAGGCAGCAGUGGGGAAUAUUGAACAAUGGGGGAAAGCCUGAUGCAGCCAUGCCGCGUGUGUGAAGAAGGCCUUCGGGUUGUAAAGCACUUUCAGCGGGGAGGCGUUACCCGCAGAAGAAGCACCGGCUAACUCCGUGCCAGCAGCCGCGGUAAUAC